Non-coding RNA from Camellia sinensis, 772 nucleotides. The record is from RefSeq and is a predicted model, not a curated record. NCBI's taxonomy places the organism in Eukaryota, Viridiplantae, Streptophyta, Magnoliopsida, Ericales, Theaceae.
UAAAUUAUUUCCAUUACAUACUAUUUCAGACUAGUCAAUAUGAUUUGAAAUUAUUUUCACUGUUAUGAUCCAUAGAAUAAGAAAUGUUCAUUUUACUAAGUUCUUUUAAGAAAAAAUUGCUUUCUUUGAUAAAAUAAUAAACACAAUAUUCAAGUGUUGACCUUUCUAUUUAUUAUCUUUUGUUAUUUCUAUUUGCUUUCUUUUUUUAUUUCCACUAAGCCUUUGAGAAGAUGUUUUCCCUCAGUUCUACAAGCAAUUUCACCACUUCCUCCACAUCUGUUUCGAUAGUCACUUUGUUGAGGCCCUUUUAGAGGAUAAUGGUAAGGCCUUUGUACAUAGCCCAUAGCUCUGUCUCAAGGCUGGUACAGUUUUCUAGUCUGCCAUAGAAGCCACAAAUCCAUGCUCCCUUUUCAUCUCUAAUCAGUCCUCCAAAGCCUCCAGGUUUGGCAAUUCUGUAGCAUCCAUCAAUGUUCAUCUUGAGGGUACCUGAAGGAGGAAGCAUCCACUUGAUUAGCAUAAGUGUUGAUCUUAGGAGACAAAAAAGAAUAAUGGGGUUCCUGCUAGUCGGUCACGAGUGUGGAUGGCCGCAUACAUGAAAGAUGGGAUGUCAAAUAGUGAUUCAGUUAAUGAGGUUAUGACUCAAAUGAAUGAGUUAGCAGAGCACAUGGAGGGAUCUUCUACUGACCCUGCAGCAUUACAGGAGCAAAUCUUCACACAAGUUAUGGGCCCAGAGCGACCUGGCCGUGUUCGAACGUUUGGAUUGGGACCGCCA